UACAGAGGUCUCAAGCGUUGUUCGGAUUCAUUGGGCGUAAAGGGUGCGUAGGCGGCGCGGUAAGUCGGGUGUGAAAUCUUGGAGCUUAACUCCGAAACUGCAUUCGAUACUGCCGUGCUUGAGGACUGGAGAGGAGACUGGAAUUUACGGUGUAGCGGUGAAGUGCGUAGAUAUCGUAAGGAAGACCAGUGGCGAAGGCGGGUCUCUGGACAGUUCCUGACGCUCAUGCACGAAAGCGUGGGGAGCAAACAGG
This 253-nucleotide ribosomal RNA is filed under the name uncultured bacterium. RNAcentral describes it as "partial 16S ribosomal RNA". It matches the Rfam family "Bacterial small subunit ribosomal RNA", at positions 524 to 776 of the family's 1533-position model. The record is from RNAcentral.